GACACGGCAGAGACAAUGUAGCCUUCCAGAGAAGUAACAUGUCCGGACCCUUUUCUCUGGAGACAUGGAAGCAUGAUUGCAUGGCAACGUGUACACAGACGUGCAUGAGACUCUCUCCACCGUCAGCUCAAGAUGGAAGCAGCAAUUCAGACACUCUUCGGUAGGCGAGUGACCUGUGACCUGACCAUGAGACACUGCUCAGUGAUACAAAGGAGCAGCUACCGAUGCCUGGAAGGACAGGCUGAGCCUGUGUAUGUGAAAUCAAGAAAAAGCAAACCUAAUCUUUAGUGAUAGAAAUUAGCUUAAUGGUUGGUUGGAUGGAUGAAGGAGCCAACCACAGACAGAAUACCGAGGGUGUUCUUGGGGACAGCAUAAAUGUAUGCAGUGAUUGUGGUGAUGGGGAUAUUUACAUUCAUCAAAGACACAUACCUUUAUCAAA
Molecule: long non-coding RNA, 439 nt
Organism: Mesocricetus auratus (golden hamster)
Lineage: Eukaryota; Metazoa; Chordata; Mammalia; Rodentia; Cricetidae
Exons: 2
Source: RefSeq, a predicted model, not a curated record